ACUGGUGAGUAACACGUAUGCGACCUGCCCCGGACAGGGGGAUAAACCCGGGAAACUGGGCCUAAUACCCCAUAUGCCCCGAGGGCGCAUGCCUUUGGGGUGAAAGAUCCGUCGGUCCGGGAUGGGCAUGCGGCGCAUUAGCUAGUUGGCGGGGCAACGGCCCACCAAGGCGACGAUGCGUAGGGGUUCUGAGAGGAAGGUCCCCCACACUGGUACUGAGACACGGACCAGACUCCUACGGGAGGCAGCAGUGAGGAAUAUUGGUCAAUGGACGAUAGUCUGAACCAGCCAAGUCGCGUGCGGGAUGAAGGCCCUCCGGGUCGUAAACCGCUUUAGCCGGGGAGUAACGUGGGGGUCGUGACCCCCAGUGAGAGUACCCGGAGAAUAAGCAUCGGCUAACUUCGUGCCAGCAGCCGCGGUAAUACGGAGGAUGCGAGCGUUAUCCGGAUUUAUUGGGUUUAAAGGGUGCGCAGGCGGCGUGUCAAGUCAGCGGUCAAACUGCGGGGCUCAACCCCGUAUCGCCGUUGAAACUGGCGCGCUCGAGUGUGUGCGAGGAUGGCGGAAUGCGCGGUGUAGCGGUGAAAUGCAUAGAUAUCGCGCAGAACCCCGAUUGCGAAGGCAGCUGUCCAGCACGCCACUGACGCUCAUGCACGAAAGCGUGGGUAUCGAACAGGAUUAGAUACCCUGGUAGUCCACGCGGUAAACGAUGAUAACUAGUUAUCCGGGGCGAUUGGGUCCUGGGUGACCGAGCGAAAGCGUUAAGUUAUCCACCUGGGGAGUACGCCGGCAACGGUGAAACUCAAAUGAAUUGACGG
RNAcentral lists this ribosomal RNA (815 nucleotides) under uncultured bacterium. RNAcentral's name for it is "bacterial SSU rRNA". It matches the Rfam family "Bacterial small subunit ribosomal RNA", at positions 102 to 916 of the family's 1533-position model. The record is from RNAcentral.